This 490-nucleotide ribosomal RNA is filed under the name uncultured bacterium. RNAcentral describes it as "partial 16S ribosomal RNA". It matches the Rfam family "Bacterial small subunit ribosomal RNA", at positions 30 to 507 of the family's 1533-position model. The record is from RNAcentral.
AUUGAACGCUGGCGGCAGGCCUAACACAUGCAAGUCGAACGGUAACACGAAACAGCUUUCUUCUUCGCUGACGAGUGUCGGACGGGUGAGUAAUGUCUGGGAAGCUGCCUAAUGUCGUGGGAUAACUAGUGGAAACGGUAGCUAUUACCGCAUAAUGUCGCUACACCAAAGAGCAGGAGCUUCUGGCCUCUUGCCAUCUGAUGUGCCCAGAUGUGAUUAGCUUGUUGGUGGGGUAACGGCCCACCAAGGCGACGAUCCGUAGCUGGUCUGAGAGGAUGACCAGCCACACUGGAACUGAGACACGGUCCAGACUCCUACGGGAGGCAGCAGUGGGGAAUAUUGCACAAUGGGCGCAAGCCUGAUGCAGCCAUGCCGCGUGUAUGAAGAAGGCCUUCGGGUUGUAAAGUACUUUUAGUGGGGAGGAAGGGAGUAAAGUUAAUACCUCGCUGCACUGACGUUACCCGAAGAAGAAGCACCGGCUAACUCCGUG